This 1819-nucleotide ribosomal RNA is filed under the name Triticum aestivum (bread wheat). Its description in RNAcentral is "partial small subunit ribosomal RNA". The record is from RNAcentral. Lineage: Eukaryota; Viridiplantae; Streptophyta; Magnoliopsida; Poales; Poaceae.
CCAGGUUAGCCCAAUAAACAGCCCAUUAUGCGACGAAGGAGAGGAUUAGCGAGCGAUGCCGAUGCCUGCAUUAGCCGACCGAUUAGCGAUAUACUCCGCCGCCGCCUGCCGCCCGCCGCCGCUCUCGCUCACGCUCCACCGCCGCCGCCAGGACCUCCAGUGAUCGCGGGACGGAGAGGAGAGGCGAGGCGGCGCAGGGCAGGGUGUGGAUUGAAUCUGGCGCAUCGUCCGUCCCCGAUUCGCCCUCACCGCAGGCAGGGCAGGUACACAGAUCCCUUUCCUUCGGUGAUUGCUAGCUGCGAAUUGAUUUGGGUAGGUGUUCACCACCGAUCUCGUCUGAUCUGGCCGUCGUCUCCGUCACGCCACCAGAUUGCUAAUCGUUUUCGGAAUCCAACUCCUCCCCUCCCUCCAAUUCCAAUUCCGAUUCUAACACUGAGAUUUUGCAGGGCGGCGGCAGGGCCAUCAUAUAAUAAAUUCAAGGCUCGAUCUUUCUGCCGAAACUCUUCAAGGACGCGUGAUUGGUGAACACAGAGGCAGAGCUGCAGCAGGAGGAGGAUUAGAUAGAUUACUCUGUUAUUACUAUUAGGUCCUGUCAAAUCGCAGUGGGGAUGUCUAAUAAGCGCCGGGGAUAUGCCCGCGACGGCGGUGAAAAGAGGUCGCGGCGGAUCAAGCAUCUGUACCUCGUGUUGGAUGACUGGACCAAGGGGUACAGCAUCCACAAGAUCCAAGCCGACAGCUUCAACUCUGACUCUGACUCUGACUCUGAUGACCAGCACAGGGGCGCUGCCCGGCACCUCCCGGAGCCUCCGACCCUGCGGUUAGAGUGCCCGGUUGGCACUGUACCUCAUCCCGGCAUGUCGUUCUCUGCCUUGGGCACCAAGAUCUUCACCUUCAUGUCCUCAUCUACGACACCAAGACGGCGGCAAUGACGAUUGGCGCCCAUGCCCCUGCUGACAUGGUCUGUGGCUUCGGCAUCACCGUGGUCGUUGAUGAGAUGCUCUAUGCAUUAUCUUACCACUUCCGCGAGAAACAACACUCCUUUGGGGUCAUGUCAUGGGGGUCCACCGCGCCGGAUGCGCUGCAACAACCAACCGAGGGCUGGUCCUGGAAGACUCUGCCGCCACCACCGCCAACGUUCCACCGCCGAGUCAACUCCUAUGCACUACACCCGGAUGGAUGCACCAUCUUUAUGUCCACAGCUAACUUCAUGACGGCACCUAGCAAAGGUUGCAUGGGCACCUACUCAUUCAACACCAAGGAUUCUGUGUGGAGAUGGCAUGGGGAGUGGGCCUUGCCAUUCAGCGGCCAAGCACACUUUGACAGGGAGCUCAACGCUUGGGUUGGCCUUCAUUGGGAUGGCUACAUCUCUGCUUGCCAAGUUGCCUCCCCCAGCUGCCACAGCACGACUCCAACGUUGCAGCUGGACUGCCAGACAACCAAGGAGAAGUUGUUCUGCAAGGACCGGAAGCCGCAGAUGGGAGCCUCUCUCACCUACAUGGGCACGAGCAAGUUCUGCCUCGUCGAGGGAGUGGAGGAGGAACAGGCUCUCGGAGGCCAUGAUGGCUGUGUGCUCCAUAUCACCAUAUUUGGGCUCAAGUUCAAUCACAAGGGAGAGCUGCGGAUCACAGAUCACCGCUCCACGCGCUCCUUCAUAGUGUCUAGUCAUAAAGAUCACUUUAUGCCUGUAGCAUUUUGGAUGUAGAAACCCGUUUGGCUUGUUCCAAAAUCCUUGCUUGACUGUCACUGGUUCAUGUUGUGCUUUGUCCUCCUAGAAAGUGGAAUCAAUAAAAAGUUCUGUUUGCUUGGAAGUUGUGCGAUA